GCCUUCCCUAUAUUCCAGGUGCCGCUCGCAAGAACGGCUAUGGCGAUAAACGGAUCUCGAAAUAAGCCUUUCGGACCCGGGGGCGGUACCCGGCGCCUCCACCAAAGCCCUGAUGAUGCAGGGUUUUGGCGGGGGCGAAAUAGGAUCGACGAGGGUGUAAAGGUUAUCCUUUUGCUCGGCAUGGUUCCGCCGUUAUCGGGCCAAAGCAUAGUUGCCAACGACAACAAUGCUCGGGUUGCCGUCGCCGCGUAAGCGGUGCUGGUUCCCAAACCAAAGCCCUUGCGUUUAGCCGCGUAAGGCGGGGCUCGGAGGCGCCUGGCAACAGAAGCCUCCA
Molecule: transfer-messenger RNA, 334 nt
Filed under: uncultured Allobosea sp.
Lineage: Bacteria; Pseudomonadati; Pseudomonadota; Alphaproteobacteria; Hyphomicrobiales; Alloboseaceae
Description: Alphaproteobacteria transfer-messenger RNA
Rfam family: Alphaproteobacteria transfer-messenger RNA
About the family: Bacterial tmRNA, also known as 10Sa RNA or SsrA, is named for its dual tRNA and mRNA-like properties. Its role is to liberate the mRNA from a stalled ribosome. To accomplish this part of the tmRNA is used as a reading frame that ends in a translation stop signal.
Source: RNAcentral